GAUGCUGUAGCUCAAUGGUAAAGUGCUUGCCUCACAUGUAUGAGGCACUGGGUUCUAUUCUCAGCACCACA
This 71-nucleotide transfer RNA is filed under the name Marmota monax (woodchuck). It matches the Rfam family "tRNA". From Rfam's summary of the family: Transfer RNA (tRNA) molecules are approximately 80 nucleotides in length. Their secondary structure includes four short double-helical elements and three loops (D, anti-codon, and T loops). Further hydrogen bonds mediate the characteristic L-shaped molecular structure. tRNAs have two regions of fundamental functional importance: the anti-codon, which is responsible for specific mRNA codon recognition, and the 3' end, to which the tRNAs corresponding amino acid is attached (by aminoacyl-tRNA synthetases). tRNAs cope with the degeneracy of the genetic code in two manners: having more than one tRNA (with a specific anti-codon) for a particular amino acid; and 'wobble' base-pairing, i.e. permitting non-standard base-pairing at the 3rd anti-codon position. Lineage: Eukaryota; Metazoa; Chordata; Mammalia; Rodentia; Sciuridae. The record is from Rfam by way of RNAcentral. RNAcentral also lists the same sequence under 3 other names.